GGUGAACGCUGGCGGCGUGCUUAACACAUGCCAGUCGAACGGAAAGGCCCAAGCUUGCUUGGGUACUCGAGUGGCGAACGGGUGAGUAACACGUGGGUGAUCUGCCCUGCACUUCGGGAUAAGCCUGGGAAACUGGGUCUAAUACCGGAUAGGACGAUGGUUUGGAUGCCAUUGUGGAAAGUUUUUUCGGUGUGGGAUGAGCUCGCGGCCUAUCAGCUUGUUGGUGGGGUAAUGGCCUACCAAGGCGUCGACGGGUAGCCGGCCUGAGAGGGUGUACGGCCACAUUGGGACUGAGAUACGGCCCAGACUCCUACGGGAGGCAGCAGUGGGGAAUAUUGCACAAUGGGCGCAAGCCUGAUGCAGCGACGCCGCGUGGGGGAUGACGGCCUUCGGGUUGUAAACUCCUUUCGCUAGGGACGAAGCGUUUUUGUGACGGUACCUGGAGAAGAAGCACCGGCUAACUACGUG
Molecule: ribosomal RNA, 468 nt
Filed under: uncultured bacterium
Lineage: Bacteria
Description: partial 16S ribosomal RNA
Rfam family: Bacterial small subunit ribosomal RNA
Source: RNAcentral